CUAGGAAUUGAAUUGGGCUUGAUGUUCCCAAUCGACAAUCAACUAGAACGUCUUCCAAGGAGAGUGUGUUGAUGUGCUACAAUAAGGAAAUCGGAUUUUUUUAAUAACAAACCCUAACAUCAGACAAACAAAUUAACAAAGUGACUCAUCCUUCAUUACACGAAGCUGCUGGAUAUUCGUGUUACAGCAAACUGCUGCAUAAUGUCCAAAUUCGUGGCACGAGUUGCACUUCCUUCGCAACGCUGGACACGGGAAAUUCUUGUGCGAAUACUGGUUACACCUUGGACAGCGGUUGCUACGAACACGAUCUCGCGAAUCACGCCGAAAGCUAUGUUCUUCACGAGGUCGCUUCGCGGUUGUUGGCCUGUUCCAGUCACCAGGUCGUGAACGCUUCUGGCUUCGACGGCCAUUCGACUCAAGACGGCCACGAUACACAGCAUACACAUCUGACGAUUCGCUGACUGCUGUUUCAGCUUGAUAUGAUGCAUCACGGGUAGCAGCCUGGACUAUGUACUGAGUAUCAUACCCAUACGUUCGAGCGGCCUUUACAAGCUCCUUGUUCCUCAGUCCCUUGAGAAGUUGCGAUCGAACGAAUCUAUCUUGAUCUGCCGGGCUGUACUCACACAAGCGGACUUUUUCCAUUAAGCGAGCAUGGAAAGCAAUUGCUGACUCGGAUGUUUCCUGCCUCAUGUUUGAAAACGCCUCGUGCUCGGCUGCUGAAUCGGUCAUUGUUUGGAGGUAGCUCUUGAUGUUGCUGACGAAAACGCGGUAGCAGUUCGCGUCGUUCAGCUCGGGCCUUAGCUUUGCUGCCCUGAUGAUGCCUUGAAAUUCCUCACCAACCGAAAGAAACAGCAAUUGGCACCUUCGGACUGGAUCAUUUGCGUUGUUGAGAGUGGCAGCAAUCUCGAAGUUCUCGAUAUAUCGGUUCCACUCUCCCCACAUUUUGUUGGCCGGCACUCCGUUCGGAAAGGGUUUGAUAUUAUCCCAACGGAUGCUUGAUGAGCAAGGGUCCGAAACUCCGGCGAGGGCAGCGGGGGCACUCCAGGUUUGAUCGGUAUCCUUGAUCGGGAUCAUCGGAGCUCGCAGUACAUUCAAUGCCUUCGUGAUGUCUGCCAGUACAUUCUCCAUUCUUUGAAGGUGGUCGCCGUCGCUAAUUGGGUUUGCAUUACUCGUAGUUUGCGAAGUACUUCCAUGAUUGCCAGACAUACCGCCCUGAGAGUAACUUGCCUCAUCGUCGUCACAAGAUGAGCUGGAGGAAGCUCGGCUUUUUCCAUCGGAACCUACCUCCGCACUCGAAUCAUCCUGGCCAUAAUCUUCCUCGCUGUCAAACUCGCUGCUCUCACUAUCGGACACGACAGGGGCCCGGACGUACUUUCCAUCACUUUCCAUUUUGAUAACUUUGUUCCUGCGUUGUAUCAAUCUGAAAUACGUAAAUAUUUUCACAUAGAACUAUUUGAGAACUAUUCUCUUAUCAAAUAAACAGUGAACACGCGUGCAAUUUUAGGGGCUUCUCUUUUUCUUUCUUCAGUAUUGUUACUGUGGACUUACUAUGCCACGCUGGAAACAAGUUGUCGGAAAUAAGAGUUUUUUUACAAUCUGGUCUUACUUUGCCAGGUGGAAUACACAACAACAUAACUUUUGUGGACAUUUUGAUACCGUGGUCUUACUGUGCCAUUGGGUAAUGUAUUUUUAACUUUCUAUUAGAGUUUUCGUAUCUUUGAACAUCGUGGUCUUACUGUGCCAUACAUGAUCUUCAAAUUCUGCGAGCAUUCAAGUUUUCUCUAACACUACGGACUUACUAUGCCAGUUAGAAUGAAUAUAAUCGCAAUUGGACGCCUGAAAACUGUGGUCUUACUAUGCCAGUUCGAAUACGCAUUACACUUUAUAUGGGUGUUCCGGUUGAGGAACCGUUUCACUUUAGACGCUGUGGGCUUACUGUGCCACUCAAC
Long non-coding RNA from Aedes albopictus (Asian tiger mosquito), 1949 nucleotides. RefSeq lists it as uncharacterized. The transcript has 2 exons. Lineage: Eukaryota; Metazoa; Arthropoda; Insecta; Diptera; Culicidae. The record is from RefSeq and is a predicted model, not a curated record.